CAGACUCUGUCUCAAAACAAAAACAAACCCCCCCCAAAAAAGUAGUUUAUAAUAAUAUUUGUCAGGAGUUCAAUACCAGCCUGGCCAAAAUGGUGAAACCAUGUCUACCAAAAGUACAAAAUUUAGCUGGGCGUGGUGGCAGGUUCCUGUAGUCCCAGCUACUCAGGAGGCUGAGGCGGAAGAAAGAAUGACAACUGGACUCCUUCUCACCUCUCUCAAAAAGUGGAUUUUCUCAACCCUGAUCUUAUUUCCUGUGAAUAAUGUGCAUUGAAACCUGCAUUCGGAGACCACCUGCUCAAUCCAAUCUCCAGGAGCUUCUAACAGGCAUUAAAUGGGAAUAGAACCUCUUUCAAGGGCCAGAAAGAUCACUUCUUAGAGGAAAAUUAAUCCUUAAUAGGAAACACAUCCUGAGGCUGCUGGGGGCCUGGGGAAUACAAGGUCUCUGGGUGAUGCUUGAAUCAGUUUUCACACACAAACGCACAUGUGCACACACACACACACACACUCCCCCUGCCUCAGAUUGUUUAAAAGCUUAUAGAGCUAUAAGAGUUAGGAGUCACACAUAGAGCCCCAGGAUCUCAUUUCAUGUGCUACCUUAAAAGUCAGUGGGGAGUGAAAUAGAAAAACUUUGCCAUAGGACAAGACACAGCCAUGUAGAGCCAUGGGAAGGAAAUGGAAAAGACCAUAGCCAGACAGACAUGUGAAUGUGGAGUCUGAAGAGAAACAAAAUGGCAAAGCGCCAACACUUUGGAGAAUAAAUGAUGCCUUUUAGGCCCCAGAGCCUGGGACAGCAUUAAUGGUUUAUGGAAACGCCACCGUGCCAGUAAUGGAUAUUGUCAAAACUGGGUUUGAUUUAGUGGUAGAACAGUUACUAAAUGCUAUGGUCAUUUUUAGCAUAAGCUUUAAUAUAGAUAGAUAGAGAUAGCGAUAAUACAUAGAUAUAGAUAUAUACAUAGAUAUAGAGAUAUACAUAGAUAUGGAUAGACAUAGAUAUAUAGAUGGAUAUAGAUAGAUAUAAAUAUAUAGAUAGAUAUAAAUAUAUACAUAGAGAUAAUACAUAGGUGGAUAUAUAGAUAGAUAUAUAUAGAUAUAGAUAGAUAGAUAGAUAGAUAGAUAGAUAGAUAGAUAGAUAGAUUCAAAGACAAGGUCAUUAUCCCAACACCUCUUUAGAAAACAGGACCAUAUGAUUGUAAAGGGAGAUAGUAUUUUUAUUAUUUAAAAUUCAUUUUCAGAUACUAUUUAGGCCUGUGUCUUCAAAUAGCUUCCUUUCAUCUUCCCACACUCAUAUCCUAUCAUUAUUCUAUGUGAAUGUGUUUUGAGAUCCAUAUUGAGAGGCUACCUACGUGAUCCAACUCCAAAAACCUCUCGUAGACAUUAAGGAAUCAAAAUACUGCUUCUCUAAGGUGAUGGUAAGCUCAUUUUUAUAGGAAAAUAGAAGCUUACUAAAUCUGCUGAAACAACUGGUAUUUUCAGUCCUCAUUUAGUUUCUAGGGAGAAGGUCAUCUCUUGCUGACUAUUGCAAAACUAUGCCAGAGGUAACAGAAAUGUUGUGUCUAUUGAAAUUUAGUUCCCAGAGAAGGGUCUUAAAACUAUUCAUUAGUUUUUGUCUUUAUAUUUUUUGUUGCUUUUUCUUAUUUAUUUAGGCUGUUUAGGAAAAAAUAAAGCUUCCAUCAUGUAUAAGCCCAGCAUUUUAGAGGCCUUUGCUGUAAAAUACCAUACAAGUGGGCAAUCUUCCAGAAAUUUUCAACACCUUUUGUUGAAGAGUGGGCAUGUAAUCACACUGGCUUCGUGUUUUGAGUGGCCUGCAAAGAGGAAAUUUCCCCUUCUCUCCUCUCUCCUUUCUCUCAUCUCUUUCUCAUUUUUCCUUUUGGAUUAUCAUCAUGCAGUCUUCGUGUGCCGCUCAUUUAUUCAACAAUCUGUAUACAUUUAACAUCCAAUGAUUAAUGAUUUCCCUGACAAAUUUAAGGAGACAAUUGCACUAAAACUCCUCUGAUAUCUAUAGCAUAUUUAAAAGUCUCAUUUAGGCCGACUGUAGUGGCUCACGCCUGUAAUCCUAGCACUUUGGGAGUGUGAGGUGUGAAUCACUUGAGGCCAGGAGUUCGAGACCAGCCUGGUCAACAUCGUGAAACCUCGUCUCCACUAAAAAUACAAAAAUUAGCCGGGUGUGGUGGUGGGUGCCUGUAAUAUCAACUACUCAGGAGGCUGAGACAGAAGAAUCACUUGCACCUGAGAGGAGGAGGUUGCAGAGCCAAGGUUGUGCCACUACACUCCAGCCUGGGCUACAGACCAAGACUCUGUCUCAAAAUAAAUAAAUAAAUAAAUAAAUGUCUAAUUUAACAGUAACAUCCUUGGCUUUUGAUGCUUUUUUAUUGCCUUAUUAUUAUUAUUUUUUGCAUCAACUCAGGAUCAGCUGCAAUCUUUUCUGCUUCUUCUCUGGUUCUCCAUAUCUGUGGGCUUCCCUGGCUCCUUUUGAAGGGAAGCAUGGUAAUGAGAGAGGGUAAUGUACAAAGGUCAGAAUGUGCCCUUUUUGCUCUGGCAAGCCAAAAAUGUUAACGUGACUGGUGGUGCUAAAAAGCAAGCUCCCAAAUUGGCCUGUUAAUCUUCACUGGUCACGUUUGAGGAAUUUUC
RNAcentral lists this long non-coding RNA (2628 nucleotides) under Homo sapiens (human). Its description in RNAcentral is "non-protein coding lnc-PARD3-3:1". The record is from RNAcentral. Lineage: Eukaryota; Metazoa; Chordata; Mammalia; Primates; Hominidae.